Long non-coding RNA from Ailuropoda melanoleuca (giant panda), 1748 nucleotides. RefSeq lists it as uncharacterized. The record is from RefSeq and is a predicted model, not a curated record. The transcript has 5 exons. NCBI's taxonomy places the organism in Eukaryota, Metazoa, Chordata, Mammalia, Carnivora, Ursidae.
GAAUAAGAAAACUCAUGCUCUGGGUGAGUCAACGUGCUGCCAGAGGCAACAUGAUCAGGAAACAGCAGAGUCAAGAGUAGAACCUUAGACUUUUCUGUGGAGCACAGAACUGACUAAAGUAUCGCUCCAUGAGACCUUGAAAAAGUAGAAGAAACUUAUCCUUCACCGCAGAAAGUUUGAGAAUCACUGUUGGACUCUGAAGUUUCUCCCCAAUACAAAUUAACCCUUACGUGGGUAUGGGUCAAAAGAGCCAGCCAGCGAGAGAGGGAACACAGCAGGGAAGUGGGAGAGGAAGAAGAAGGCUCCCACCGGAGGAGCCCAAUGUGGGACUCGAUGCCGGAACACUGGGAUCACGCCCUGAGCCGAAGGCAGACGCUUAACGACUGCGCUACCCAGGCGCCCCAAAACAAGAUUAUUUUUUGAGGCAAUCAACUACAUUCUGCAGUUUUUAUCUAAGCCUACUUGCAUUCCUCCUUGCAAUUCCCGCACAGCUUUCCACAGGAUAAAGACCAAACUCCUAGUUAAGGAGAACCUCCCUGCCGCUCCACUUCCUCGGACCCCUUGAACGCGAGAGACGCUGGCCCAGAUCCCAGCCUGGGACGUGACUGAAGCCCUCGCUUCGCAUUUAUUGGAUGUGUUGACGACCGACAGUUCUCACCUGCGUCCACCCGCAGUCACUGCCUGACCCCGUUACCCACAGGUCACCACCGCAUUCACUCCUCCAAUGAUUGAUCGGUUAAAGAUGCUAAAGGCCUUGAAACUGGCUGAGGCCUCCGUUGCAAGUGUGUUGUGGUUCCCAGAGCCCAAUCCUGCUUCCUUCAUUCCCCGGGGUUGUUGAACUCCUGCACUCUCCAGUAAAUUUCCCGCACCUGAAUCAGUCUCAGAUUCUGCUCUCCAAGAGCCCGGUGUGUCCAAGGAAGCUGACUCUAAGUGGAAUUUUAAUUAAGGAUGAGCAGCUGGCCUGCUGGCCAUAAGGCUCCCUGUCACUGGUAGCAGGGGGAGCUCUGAAAGCUGCUCACAGGAUAGCAGCACACUUGUCAAAACCCCUACUGGUGGCGAUCUGGGCCUGUGUCACGUGAGCUGAUACAAUAUAUCAGAGGACACGUGGAAGGGGACACGUGGAAGGGGACACGUGAGCUGAUACAAUAGAUCAGACAGCUGGAUGCAUGUUCCCGGGAUCAACUGAUGCUUUGGGCCAAGACAAUAAACAGUUGAGAGUGAUUAACAACCAAUUAAAAUGACGCCAAGAUGUACCAGGAGAAACUGGAAGAAUAUGGGACUGAAUUCUGAGAAUAACUACAUCCACAGGAGCAGAACACACAGUGGAUCAGAAAGAGUCUCGGCUGUGGCAGCUCUCUUCUGCGAUACGGAAUUUAAGACAUCAGCAAGGAUUGGGGACACAGCACGAAUAUAUUCCUGGGAUGGUUCUUGUUAAAUGAAUAGAAGUGCCAGGGCUAUCUGGGUUAAUAGUAAAGGAAUCAAAGACUUGAGAAGCAGGCAUGCUAGAGUGGAAUAAAUAAAUGACAAGAAUAAGUGAAUAAAUGAACAAAUGGUCUACCUUUCCUUGGUAAGGGACAUGUACACAUGGCUGCCUGAAUCAUCUUUCUAAACCUCAAAUCUGAUCACAUCAUUCCUCCUCCUCACAUUCCAAAUAAAUUUCAACUCUAUUGUUUUUGACUUAUUAUAUAUUUAUUAAUUUCUUAGGAUGUGUUCCUGGCAGAUAUGGGUACUCAAAAAAUAUUUGUUGA